This is a non-coding RNA of Chelonoidis abingdonii (Abingdon island giant tortoise), 153 nucleotides long. NCBI's taxonomy places the organism in Eukaryota, Metazoa, Chordata, Testudines, Testudinidae. The record is from RefSeq and is a predicted model, not a curated record.
GGUUUCCUUAUUUUACCAUCCAUACACUCAUGCCCCAUCUGUCUUUUUAGUCUGCACAUUCCCUCGUACGACUGAGAGACAGAUUCUAUUAUCCAAUUAUUUUUAGUCCCUAAUAGUGGGCCUGGGAAUGUUAGGUCUGGGACCCUGACCAAG